Molecule: ribosomal RNA, 83 nt
Filed under: Serratia marcescens
Lineage: Bacteria; Pseudomonadati; Pseudomonadota; Gammaproteobacteria; Enterobacterales; Yersiniaceae
Description: partial 16S ribosomal RNA
Rfam family: Bacterial small subunit ribosomal RNA
Source: RNAcentral
UUUAAUUGAAGAGUUUGAUCAUGGCUCAGAUUGAACGCUGGCGGCAGGCUUAACACAUGCAAGUCGAGCGGUAGCACAGGGGA